GAUCUGUAAGCGAAGCAGAUAGAAAGAAAGAGAGAGAGAGAGAGAGAGAGAGAGAGAGAGAGUGAGUGAAAACGGUGCAAAGUGAGUUUCAGCGGGGUAAAGUUUGUGAGUAGGCCACAAAUUGUAACCGCAACAGUGCUGACAAGAUGCCAAUAGAUUGUUAUUGUCUGCCCCGGUCUCAUAUGUAUGUGACCUACGCUCUCUCUGGAUUUUGAUUGCCAAAAACCAAAUGCGAAACAUCCAACCAGCCAGCCGGCAAACCAAAUUGAAUCACAUAAUUGAAUUAUACCGGAACAUAUGCAAAAAAAAA
Drosophila navojoa is the source of this 310-nucleotide long non-coding RNA. The record is from RefSeq and is a predicted model, not a curated record. NCBI's taxonomy places the organism in Eukaryota, Metazoa, Arthropoda, Insecta, Diptera, Drosophilidae.